CUACGGGACGCUCCAGUGGGGAAUAUUGGGCAAUGGGCGCAAGCCUGACCCAGCAACGCCGCGUGAGGGAAGAAUGUCUUCGGAUUGUAAACCUCUGUCCUUGGGGACGAAAAAAAUGACGGUACCCAAGGAGGAAGCUCCGGCUAACUACGUGCCAGCAGCCGCGGUAAUACGUAGGGAGCGAGCGUUGUCCGGAAUUACUGGGCGUAAAGGGUGCGUAGGCGGCUAUGCAAGUCAGAUGUGAAAUACCCGGGCUUAACUCGGGGGGUGCAUUUGAAACUGCAUGGCUUGAGUGCAGGAGAGGAAAGCGGAAUUCCUAGUGUAGCGGUGAAAUGCGUAGAUAUUAGGAGGAACACCAGUGGCGAAGGCGGCUUUCUGGACUGCAACUGACGCUGAGGCACGAAAGCGUGGGGAGCAAACAGGAUUAGAUACCCCAGUAGUC
This 442-nucleotide ribosomal RNA is filed under the name uncultured bacterium. RNAcentral describes it as "partial 16S ribosomal RNA". It matches the Rfam family "Bacterial small subunit ribosomal RNA", at positions 339 to 795 of the family's 1533-position model. The record is from RNAcentral.